RNAcentral lists this ribosomal RNA (198 nucleotides) under uncultured bacterium. Its description in RNAcentral is "partial 16S ribosomal RNA". It matches the Rfam family "Bacterial small subunit ribosomal RNA", at positions 328 to 539 of the family's 1533-position model. The record is from RNAcentral.
ACGCUCGACACCUACGGGGGCAGCAGUCGGGAAUAUUGCGCAAUGGAGGAAACUCUGACGCAGUGACGCCGCGUAUAGGAAGAAGGUUUUCGGAUUGUAAACUAUUGUCGUUAGGGAAGAGAAAGGACAGUACCUAAGGAGGAAGCUCCGGCUAACUACGUGCCCGCAGCCGCGGUAAUCUGAGCGGGCUGGCAAGGC